RNA transcript from Nelumbo nucifera (sacred lotus), 753 nucleotides. It is a transcript of the gene named chromosome transmission fidelity-like protein, with no coding region annotated. The record is from RefSeq and is a predicted model, not a curated record. NCBI's taxonomy places the organism in Eukaryota, Viridiplantae, Streptophyta, Magnoliopsida, Proteales, Nelumbonaceae.
UCUCUCUCUCUCUCUGAAGAAUGCAGAUUCAAGUGAAAUGCGGCUGCAGGGAAGACAGCUGCCCAGAGUGGGCAAUAGUUGAAUUGCAGGGUGCGGUUGAAGCCCAACCUUCGUUUCGAGAUCGUCUCCAGAACCUCGAAAUCGGAUGCCUUUGUCGUCCAUCCUCUGAGGAAAAGUACACUUUCACUGUUGGGUAUCACGAAUUGUCAGGGUCGAAGGUACCCUUGAAGAAGCCAUUACUGGUACUGAAGAAAAAGAGAGCCUUCGAUCCGGAGGAGUCUAUCGAUUCUGAUCCGAAUUCAUCCAGGAUGGAGCUAGAAGUCAUCGGAAUUAUUCGUCAACGCAUUUUGUUCAAGACCAGGCCAAAGGCUCUGAUAUCAAAACCACAGCCAACGAUAAAGGAAAAGAAGGUCACUCCACCAGUUACACUCUUCCAAGGAUGAAUCAAUGUGGGAGAUUAUGGAGAUGGAAAAAUUUAUGAGGAACCAACAACCAAGUAUGGGCUUGCAUGAUCCAAAGAUUUGGCCUCGAAGAAGACGAUUGGUAGAGGACGUAUGGUGGAUGAGCUCUACAUGCUGGAGCAUAAGGCUGGUCUUACAGUCACAGAGUCUAAGAGUUAGUCUAGUACGAAUCGUGUCUAUUUAUGGCACAGUUGUCUCGGUCAUUUGUCUUUUGAGUCUUUAAAAUUGGUGUUUUUAGAGUUAUUUAAGUCAGUGUCAGUGCCCCAGUUUACAUGUCAAACUUGUCAAUUGA